RNAcentral lists this transfer RNA (72 nucleotides) under Sarcophilus harrisii (Tasmanian devil). It matches the Rfam family "tRNA". Rfam says of the family: Transfer RNA (tRNA) molecules are approximately 80 nucleotides in length. Their secondary structure includes four short double-helical elements and three loops (D, anti-codon, and T loops). The record is from Rfam by way of RNAcentral. Lineage: Eukaryota; Metazoa; Chordata; Mammalia; Dasyuromorphia; Dasyuridae.
AGCAGAGUGGUUCAGUGGAAGGCAUUUAGACUUUGUAAUUCAAAGAGCUGGGUUUGAAUCUCAGCUCUGCUA